This is a long non-coding RNA of Notolabrus celidotus (New Zealand spotty), 1223 nucleotides long. RefSeq lists it as uncharacterized. The record is from RefSeq and is a predicted model, not a curated record. NCBI's taxonomy places the organism in Eukaryota, Metazoa, Chordata, Actinopteri, Labriformes, Labridae. The transcript is spliced from 3 exons.
UAGAUCUGAAGAGUCCAGCCUGUGCUCAGUCCCACCUCACAGGCAGAUAUGGGUAUUAAUGGCUGAUUACAAGGUGCAUGGAGGAGAAACAACUGACAAUCUGAAAACUGCCAGAAACACAUGUGCACAUGCUACCCUGUGGACAUGCAUUGAAAGAGAUGUCACAGCGAGGGGGCUGCACAUGGACCUGAGGCUCUGCAGCAGUGCCCGGGCAGUAAACUGGCAACUCCAGGACCAGUCAGACCAACAUCCUUUAGUCUUAGGACUUUAGGACUUGAACCACCCACCCCUUAGCCCAAGUCCCUGCAGACUGAGCUACCGUUGCACACAGCAUUUGGCCUAUAGAACCAGUGAAGUUUUCCCAGCUGACCGUUGAGUCGAUUCCUGGACUUAAUAAGUUAGAGCUUCUUGUUCUGGUUGAACAUGCGUGUCAGGUUGGCCGGGCGUGGCACUAAAGAAGCACACUAUGCAUCACAUAGUUUAGAUAAUCAGAGGUAAUGUUUGAAAGUCAAAUGAAUCCCCUCCUUUUUAUCUCGUGAGCUGAUGAAAACUGAACCAACCUCUGUUUGAAAAAGCUCAUGAGGUUCUCCUCCGGCUCUCUGCAUUGAAGUUUAUUAUGUGUUGAAUAUGUUUAAUACGAAACUGGAGUGUCUGGAACUCAUUUACACCUACCAGUGAAGAAUGAAGGGAAUUUAGUAUCAAACUAUCCGACUCUUUAACAUCCAGAUGGGAAACUCUUGAAGACAUAAGACUCAAUGAAAUGACAAUGUGAAGGAGGAGAGAGAGAGGAAGAGGAGGUUUAAAAUACAGGAAUGUAGUUGCCAGUCUUGGCACGGUGCCGCUGGACGAUGCACUCGGCGAGCCACGCGAUGUUCCUGCACUCAGCUCCUUCAGCUUGACGUAGGCGUAGAAAACUGACUGAUUACAAGCUGCAUGGAGGAGGAGAAACAACUGACAAUCUGAAAACUGUAAGCAGCACUUCUGUUGUAAAAACGAUAGAAGAGACCAAUGAGUGAACAUGACAGGCUGUUAUAUCCUGUGUUGUUUUCGCUUGGUGCUGUGCUGUACUGAGUUCUGAACAAAAAGAGAAUUAUAAAAUCAUCUGUGGUCUCGGCUCAGACAUGAGUUGAGUGUUGCAUUGCGGAGUUGUUUGAUGGGGGUCAUAGUGAGUUAACAUAUUUUAACAUGCCUGAUCCCUUUUCAUUUUGUAAUACCACAAAAUA